This 524-nucleotide ribosomal RNA is filed under the name uncultured bacterium. RNAcentral's name for it is "bacterial SSU rRNA". It matches the Rfam family "Bacterial small subunit ribosomal RNA", at positions 381 to 906 of the family's 1533-position model. The record is from RNAcentral.
CUCUGACCCAGCUAUCCGCGUGCAGGAAGACGGCCCUCUGGGUUGUAAACUGCUUUUGUUUGGGAAUAAACCCUUCUACGUGUACGAGGCUGAGGGUACCGUACCAAUAAACAUCGGCUAACUCCGUGCCAGCACCCGCGGUAAUACGGAGGAUGCGGGCGUUAUCCGGAUUUAUUGGGUUUAAAGGGUCCGUAGGCGGAUUUUUAAGUCAGUGGUGAAAGCCCACCCCUCAACUGUGGAACUGCCAUUGAUACUGGAGAUCUUGACUGUAGUAGAAGUAGGCGGAAUAGGGCAUGUAGCGGUGAAAUGCAUAGAUAUGCCCUAGAACACCAAUUGCGAAGGCAGCUUACUAUGUUACAACUGACGCUGAGGGACGAAAGCGUGGGGAGCAAACAGGAUUAGAUACCCUGGUAGUCCACGCUGUAAACGAUGAUUACUCGCUGUUGGCUACAUACAGUCAGCGGCCAAGCGAAAGCAUUAAGCAAUCCACCUGGGGAGUACGCCGGCAACGGUGAAACUCAAGG